This 101-nucleotide microRNA precursor is filed under the name Marmota monax (woodchuck). Lineage: Eukaryota; Metazoa; Chordata; Mammalia; Rodentia; Sciuridae. The record is from RNAcentral.
AGAUGGAUAGCUGGGUCAAAUGGUGGUUCCAUUCCGUUUUCUGAGUACUCUCCAUGCUGCUUUCCAUAGUGGUUGCACCAAUUUGCAGUUCCAUCAGCAAU